GUGACCGUACUCUACAGGAUCUGUAUACAGUACAUAACCGUUCUACGUUUUUCAAACUAGACCAAUUCGUCAAGCUAGUGGAUGACAUUAAGCAGACUUUCCUAUGAGUGAAGUGUACUAUGGAUGACUCUCAGGGUCGACCACAGUAGUUGAUGAUCUCGCCUGUUCACUAUUCCAAGAACAUGGCACGGAAAGAGCUGCAGUCUGAUAGCU
This is a non-coding RNA of Absidia glauca, 213 nucleotides long. The record is from Rfam. NCBI's taxonomy places the organism in Eukaryota, Fungi, Mucoromycota, Mucoromycetes, Mucorales, Cunninghamellaceae.